This 142-nucleotide microRNA precursor is filed under the name Chlorocebus sabaeus (green monkey). Its description in RNAcentral is "miRNA (ENSCSAG00000027487.1)". The stretch from base 45 to 96 matches the Rfam family "mir-1302 microRNA precursor family". The record is from RNAcentral. Lineage: Eukaryota; Metazoa; Chordata; Mammalia; Primates; Cercopithecidae.
AGGACACCCUGUUAAAUUUGAAUUUCAGAUAAACCACCAGUAACAUCUUAACGUAAGUAUGUUCCAUGCAAUAUUUGGGACAUACUUGUACUAAAAAGUAUCCACUGUUUUUCUGAAAUUCAAAUUCAAUGGAGUGUCCUGU